GGAGAAGUACCCAAGAGGCUCAAGGGGCUCCCCUGCUAAGGGAGUAGUAUGGAUUAAACCGUAGCGAGGGUUCGAAUCCCUCCUUCUCCGCCA
This 93-nucleotide transfer RNA is filed under the name Candidatus Protoclostridium stercorigallinarum. RNAcentral describes it as "tRNA-Ser". It matches the Rfam family "tRNA". From Rfam's summary of the family: Transfer RNA (tRNA) molecules are approximately 80 nucleotides in length. Their secondary structure includes four short double-helical elements and three loops (D, anti-codon, and T loops). The record is from RNAcentral. Lineage: Bacteria; Bacillati; Bacillota; Clostridia.